UGUGUUUCAAACUCUUAUGAUCGGUAUAGAUCUGAAAGGUCUCUCCGUAUAAGUAGUGGCACAGGUUUUCAAGGCGUGUAUGAUUGCGGCAAGCUCCAAGUCAUGGGUGGGAUAAUUCUUCUCAUGAUUCUUUAACUGUCUGGACCCAUAUGCUAUGACCUUCUCAUACUGCAUCAGGACACAACCCAGGCCUAGAUAGG
RNAcentral lists this long non-coding RNA (200 nucleotides) under Carica papaya (papaya). RNAcentral's name for it is "long non-coding RNA (CPAP_LNC000950)". Lineage: Eukaryota; Viridiplantae; Streptophyta; Magnoliopsida; Brassicales; Caricaceae. The record is from RNAcentral.